CACGCCGCGUGAGUGAUGAAGGUUUUCGGAUCGUAAAACUCUGUUGUUAGGGAAGAACAAGUACCGUUCGAAUAGGGCGGUACCUUGACGGUACCUAACCAGAAAGCCACGGCUAACUACGUGCCAGCAGCCGCGGUAAUACGUAGGUGGCAAGCGUUGUCCGGAAUUAUUGGGCGUAAAGCGCGCGCAGGCGGUUUCUUAAGUCUGAUGUGAAAGCCCCCGGCUCAACCGGGGAGGGUCAUUGGAAACUGGGGAACUUGAGUGCAGAAGAGGAGAGUGGAAUUCCACGUGUAGCGGUGAAAUGCGUAGAGAUGUGGAGGAACACCAGUGGCGAAGGCGACUCUCUGGUCUGUAACUGACGCUGAGGCGCGAAAGCGUGGGGAGCGAACAGGAUUAGAUACCCUGGUAGUCCACGCCGUAAACGAUGAGUGCUAAGUGUUAGAGGGUUUCCGCCCUUUAGUGCUGCAGCAAACGCAUUAAGCACUCCGCCUGGGGAGUACGGUCGCAAGACUGAAACUCAAAGGAAUUGACGGGGGCCCGCACAAGCGGUGGAGCAUGUGGUUUAAUUCGAAGCACGCGAAGAACCUUACCAGGUCUUGACAUCCUCUGACAACCCUAGAGAUAGGGCUUCCCCUUCGGGGGCAGAGUGACAGGUGGUGCAUGGUUGUCGUCAGCUCGUGUCGUGAGAUGUUGGGUUAAGUCCCGCAACGAGCGCAACC
RNAcentral lists this ribosomal RNA (719 nucleotides) under Bacillus sp. 43BHI6. RNAcentral describes it as "bacterial SSU rRNA". It matches the Rfam family "Bacterial small subunit ribosomal RNA", at positions 393 to 1103 of the family's 1533-position model. Lineage: Bacteria; Bacillati; Bacillota; Bacilli; Caryophanales; Bacillaceae. The record is from RNAcentral.